Long non-coding RNA from Sander lucioperca (pikeperch), 143 nucleotides. RefSeq lists it as uncharacterized. Lineage: Eukaryota; Metazoa; Chordata; Actinopteri; Perciformes; Percidae. The record is from RefSeq and is a predicted model, not a curated record. The transcript is spliced from 3 exons.
CAUGGGAAUCAUGUAUUCUUCGUGAGGCCUUACUCAAUGGAGCUGUAUUAAUUAUUGUCUUCUCUCUGUAGAGACCUGCAGGACCCGAGCAGAGCUACGAUGCUCUCCCAGGUAACGUUAGGUCACAUCUGGCCGCAGGCCGA